CCUACGGGCGGCAGCAGUGGGGAAUAUUGCACAAUGGGGGAAACCCUGAUCCAGCAACGCCGCGUGAGUGAUGACGGCCUUCGGGUUGUAAAGCUCUGUCUUCAGGGACGAUAAUGACGGUACCUGAGGAUGAAGCCACGGCUAACGACGUGCCAGCAGCCGCGGUAAUACGUAGGUGGCGAGCGUUGUCCGGAGUUACGGGGCGUAAAGUGAGCGUAGGCGGACUUUUAAGUGAGAUGUUAAAUACUCGGGUUAAACUUGAGAGCUGCAUUUUAAACUGGAAGUCUAGAGUGCAGGAGAGGAGAAUGGAAUUCCUAGUGUAGCGGUGAAAUGCGUAGAGAUGAGGAAGAACACCAAUGGCGAAGGCGAUUCUCUGGACUGUAACUGAUGCUGAGGCUCGAAAGCGUGGGGAGCAAACAGGAUUAGAUACCCUUGUAGUC
RNAcentral lists this ribosomal RNA (440 nucleotides) under uncultured bacterium. Its description in RNAcentral is "partial 16S ribosomal RNA". It matches the Rfam family "Bacterial small subunit ribosomal RNA", at positions 338 to 795 of the family's 1533-position model. The record is from RNAcentral.